GAUGAACGCUGGCGGCGUGCUUAACACAUGCAGGUCGAACGAAGCAUUUGCGACAGAUUUUUUCGGAAUGAAGUUGCUUAUGACUGAGUGGCGGACGGGUGAGUAACGCGUGGGUAACCUGCCUUGUACUGGGGGAUAGCAGCUGGAAACGGCUGGUAAUACCGCAUAAGCGCACAAUGUUUCAUGACAUGGUGUGAAAAACUCCGGUGGUAUAAGAUGGACCCGCGUCUGAUUAGCUAGUUGGUGAGAUAACAGCCCACCAAGGCGACGAUCAGUAGCCGACCUGAGAGGGUGACCGGCCACAUUGGGACUGAGACACGGCCCAGACUCCUACGGGAGGCAGCAGUGGGGAAUAUUGCACAAUGGAGGAAACUCUGAUGCAGCGACGCCGCGUGAGUGAAGAAGUAAUUCGUUAUGUAAAGCUCUAUCAGCAGGGAAGAUAGUGACGGUACCUGACUAAGAAGCUCCGGCUAAAUACGUG
This 481-nucleotide ribosomal RNA is filed under the name uncultured bacterium. Its description in RNAcentral is "partial 16S ribosomal RNA". It matches the Rfam family "Bacterial small subunit ribosomal RNA", at positions 28 to 507 of the family's 1533-position model. The record is from RNAcentral.